GAUCAUGGCUCAGGACGAACGCUGGCGGCGUGCUUAACACAUGCAAGUCGAACGGAGCACCCUUGAAUGAGGUUUCGGCCAAAGGAAAGGAAUGCUUAGUGGCGGACUGGUGAGUAACGCGUGAGGAACCUGCCUUUCAGAAGGGGACAACAGCUGGAAACGGCUGCUAAUACCGCAUGACGCAUUCGGAUGGCAUCAUCUGAAUGCUAAAGAUUUAUCGCUGAAAGAUGG
This 231-nucleotide ribosomal RNA is filed under the name uncultured bacterium. RNAcentral describes it as "partial 16S ribosomal RNA". It matches the Rfam family "Bacterial small subunit ribosomal RNA", at positions 15 to 228 of the family's 1533-position model. The record is from RNAcentral.